UUGCUGCCUUCCAUCCUUUAACCUCAUUUUCCUCUCCAUUGAAGCUUCAAGAGUGAAAAACUUUACCAUAGCACUGUAGCGGUGACGAUCAAACCGGGGAGGAGCUCUUCAACUUGUCAUCAACCUAGAGGUAUUUGCUAAAGGACCACCGUGAGGCAUUUAUUUGGAUCUCAAUUGGGAUUGGACUAUUAUCAAAUCAAGAGCAGUAGAUCCAGGGAUCUUAGAAGGCUUCUAAUAGAUGUCUUCUUUGGAGUUAUGUCUUAUGGCUUAUGUUGUUGUAUCAGUUGUAUUAUUGUUUAAGAACUUCCUUAUAGGUCAUGCUAUAUUUCAUCUGCAUUGUAUUCGAGUUUGGUUGUAAACCUUAAGCUGUACUCUUAUAUGACAUUUCUGUCAGUUUAUUUUCUACUCCUA
Molecule: long non-coding RNA, 411 nt
Organism: Dioscorea cayenensis subsp. rotundata (Guinea yam)
Lineage: Eukaryota; Viridiplantae; Streptophyta; Magnoliopsida; Dioscoreales; Dioscoreaceae
Exons: 3
Source: RefSeq, a predicted model, not a curated record